GGGGGUGUGGCUCUGUUGGGAGAGCACUUGUUUAAUAUGCAGGAAGUUCUGGAUUUAUCUCCACCACCCCCC
Molecule: transfer RNA, 72 nt
Filed under: Rattus norvegicus (Norway rat)
Lineage: Eukaryota; Metazoa; Chordata; Mammalia; Rodentia; Muridae
Rfam family: tRNA
About the family: Transfer RNA (tRNA) molecules are approximately 80 nucleotides in length.
Source: Rfam by way of RNAcentral